GACGAAGGGGGCUAGCGUUGCUCGGAAUUACUGGGCGUAAAGCGCGUGUAGGUGGUUGUCCAAGUUGGAUGUGAAAGCCUUGAGCUCAACUCAAGAAAUGCAUUCAGGACUGGGCGGCUAGAGGACCGGAGAGGAUAGUGGAAUUCCCAGUGUAGUGGUGAAAUACGUAGAGAUUGGGAAGAACACCAGUGGCGAAGGCGGCUAUCUGGACGGUUUCUGACACUAAGACUCGAAAGCGUGGGGAGCAAACAGG
RNAcentral lists this ribosomal RNA (253 nucleotides) under uncultured bacterium. Its description in RNAcentral is "partial 16S ribosomal RNA". It matches the Rfam family "Bacterial small subunit ribosomal RNA", at positions 524 to 776 of the family's 1533-position model. The record is from RNAcentral.